AUGCAGUGAUGUGUUUGUCAACACAUCAUUCUGAGCUAUGCAGUGACAUCAUAUGACCAAGCACA
Molecule: small nucleolar RNA, 65 nt
Filed under: Castor canadensis (American beaver)
Lineage: Eukaryota; Metazoa; Chordata; Mammalia; Rodentia; Castoridae
Description: Small nucleolar RNA SNORD63 (ENSCCNG00000029770.1)
Rfam family: Small nucleolar RNA SNORD63
About the family: snoRNA U63 is found in both humans and mice.
Source: Rfam by way of RNAcentral